UACCAGCUCUUCGAGUGGUGUGGAUGUUUAUUGGGCCUAAAGCAUCCGUAGCUGGCUGGGCAAGUCCCCUGUUAAAUCCACCGAUUUAAUCGUUGGAGUGCGGGGGAUACUGUUCGGCUAGGGGACGGGAGAGGCAGACGGUAUUUUCGGGGUAGGGGUGAAAUCCUAUAAUCCCGGGAAGACCACCAGUGGCGAAGGCUGUCUGCUAGAACGCGCCCGACGGUGAGGGAUGAAAGCUGGGGGAGCGAACCGGAUUAGAUACCCGGGUAGUCCCAGCUGUAAACGAUGCAGGCUAGGUGUCUGGGCGGCCACGUGCCGCUCUAGUGCCGCAGGGAAGCCGUUAAGCCUGCCGCCUGGGGAGUACGGCCGCAAGGCUGAAACUUAAAGGAAUUGGCGGGGAGCACCACAAGGGGUGAAGCUUGCGGUUU
This 428-nucleotide ribosomal RNA is filed under the name uncultured archaeon. Its description in RNAcentral is "bacterial SSU rRNA". It matches the Rfam family "Archaeal small subunit ribosomal RNA", at positions 474 to 903 of the family's 1478-position model. The record is from RNAcentral.